AAAUGAUGAAAUCACCUAAAAAAGCUGGAAUUACCGGCAGAUUGUGUGGUGGUGAACCUACGGUUAAAGAAGACACUGAAG
Molecule: small nucleolar RNA, 81 nt
Organism: Delphinapterus leucas (beluga whale)
Lineage: Eukaryota; Metazoa; Chordata; Mammalia; Artiodactyla; Monodontidae
Source: Ensembl